Molecule: ribosomal RNA, 438 nt
Filed under: Streptococcus cristatus
Lineage: Bacteria; Bacillati; Bacillota; Bacilli; Lactobacillales; Streptococcaceae
Description: bacterial SSU rRNA
Rfam family: Bacterial small subunit ribosomal RNA
Source: RNAcentral
GACGAACGCUGGCGGCGUGCCUAAUACAUGCAAGUAGAACGCUGAAGGGAGAGCUUGCUCUUCUGGAUGAGUUGCGAACGGGUGAGUAACGCGUAGGUAACCUGCCUGGUAGCGGGGGAUAACUAUUGGAAACGAUAGCUAAUACCGCAUAACAUUGACUAUUGCAUGAUAGUCAAUUAAAAGGUGCAAAUGCACCACUACCAGAUGGACCUGCGUUGUAUUAGCUAGUUGGUGGGGUAACGGCUCACCAAGGCGACGAUACAUAGCCGACCUGAGAGGGUGAUCGGCCACACUGGGACUGAGACACGGCCCAGACUCCUACGGGAGGCAGCAGUAGGGAAUCUUCGGCAAUGGACGGAAGUCUGACCGAGCAACGCCGCGUGAGUGAAGAAGGUUUUCGGAUCGUAAAGCUCUGUUGUAAGAGAAGAACGAGUGUGA